UAAAGCAAGAAGACCCAGAAACGGAGAUAUGUAUGUCACUACCAAGAUAAGUGAAUGUCUCUACAAAUUCAACUCUUUCACCACAUUGAGAUGCACUUCUGAAGGCUGAGUCCAGGAAGUCGUUAAAAGCCUCAAUCUUAGUCUUGAUCCAGUACAAUCUGAAACCAAAACACUCUGAUUCCUCAUUCAGCUUCUCAAGUGCUGAAAUCAAAGCAUCCAUUGACUCUGCAAAGAUCAUAGCAUCAUCCAUGAAGUUAAGGUCAGUAAAUCUUUCCUCACCAAGAAAAGUACCUGAGUCA
This is a long non-coding RNA of Thalassophryne amazonica, 299 nucleotides long. RefSeq lists it as uncharacterized. The record is from RefSeq and is a predicted model, not a curated record. Lineage: Eukaryota; Metazoa; Chordata; Actinopteri; Batrachoidiformes; Batrachoididae. The transcript has 3 exons.